Molecule: long non-coding RNA, 808 nt
Filed under: Ailuropoda melanoleuca (giant panda)
Lineage: Eukaryota; Metazoa; Chordata; Mammalia; Carnivora; Ursidae
Description: lncRNA (ENSAMEG00000027808.1)
Source: RNAcentral
AUGCAACCUCUUUCUCCAGCUCCCACACGCCCGGUGUUAUGUAAACGCACCUUCAGCCCCCACCACAGCCCCAGCGCGGCCCGGCCCCGGGGCCUGGCACAGCUCGGUGCCCAGAGAAGGGAGGCACGAGGAGGCAGAGGGGCCUCUGGCCUUGCAGAGACCCGGGAAGGGAAAGGCAACUGCAAGGCAGUUGCACAGCAUAAAAUGCAGCAGCAGAGCAAAGGUCAGACGGCAGGGAACCGCCUCGCCAAAGAGAGGGAGCAGAAAUGCCCAGUCCCGGGUCAUCUCCGUGCUGACCAUCGAGGAGGCGGCAGAAAGGAAUCGAGUGGAGGACCUGCACCACCAAAAUCAAGGAGUAAAUCAAGAGAGCAGACAACAUGGGAAUAACUGCAUGAAAUUCGGGUAGGCAGGGGCUGGAUCAAAAAGGGUUCUAAAGACCUAAUGAGGAGUUUGGACUUGAUUGUAAUGACAAAAUUACCUAAAGGAACAGUAGAGUGAUAUUCGAAAAUAGUGAUUUUUUUUUUUUUUUUAAUGCCAGGGAUCCGUUUGAGCAACCUUGUAAUUGGCUCCUACCAGAAGCAAUAGUUUUAAUCUAUUUUUCCUUUGUGUUCCUUUGGAAAGUAUUCUGCUGAGUUUUAAAGAGUUUGGAAACCAUUGUACUAGAAAAACUUAAAACUGUGUACAACUACUACGUAAGCAGCCUUGUGCAAUUUGGCGGGGCUUCCAGAAGCUCCCAGGGCUGUGCAAGUUCCUGGAGCAGUGCACUGUGGGAGAGGAGAGAGUGGUACAGGGAGGUGAUAAGGCACAG